GGGAAAUAAGAGCGAAUCUCGUUCAUUCUGGCAAUAUAAUGCUUAGUAGGAGAAGUGGGAUCAAGAUGGUCCAAACUGUUCCAAUCGUCCCUACAUGCCUCACUUGCAGGUCCAAAGUCUAAGUCAGUAUACUGAGUAGUGCCAAUUUGAUAACAGCCAUGCUUUUGCCAUCCAAUCGAAGAAGUAAUAGGCUGGCGACCGAAUAUAUAAUUUGCUGCUUGGUUAUCAAGUAAUUUGAGAUUUUGCUCUUCCCCAUAAUAAAUUAGAGGAAUACCGGGCAUAAGUAGGUGUACUACAAAAAGCCCCAAAAGCUGUUUGAA
This is a non-coding RNA of Schizosaccharomyces pombe (fission yeast), 320 nucleotides long. The record is from the annotation of a GenBank genome assembly. NCBI's taxonomy places the organism in Eukaryota, Fungi, Ascomycota, Schizosaccharomycetes, Schizosaccharomycetales, Schizosaccharomycetaceae.